GCCCAUGUAACUCAGUUGGUAGAGUAGCGGCCUUUUAAGCCGUCUGUCGAGGGUUCGAGUCCCUCCAUGAGCA
Molecule: transfer RNA, 73 nt
Filed under: Bacteriophage sp.
Also listed under: 1 other name
Description: tRNA-Lys
Rfam family: tRNA
About the family: Transfer RNA (tRNA) molecules are approximately 80 nucleotides in length.
Source: RNAcentral